This 311-nucleotide long non-coding RNA is filed under the name Olea europaea subsp. europaea. The record is from RNAcentral. Lineage: Eukaryota; Viridiplantae; Streptophyta; Magnoliopsida; Lamiales; Oleaceae.
GUUGGUAGAAUGUGUUUUAACACCAACAGAAAGAUAUAUUGAUUACAGAACUUUAGGCAUGGUUGAGCAGCUGAAUGAUUUUUUGCUGUAUCCUUGGGACCGUAAGGCAUACUUUGUUUUGUUGAAGUUGUUGCAACAAUCACAUACUGAAAGAAUACAAAGAAUGCAACAGACAGGCCAAAAUGAAUGUAAAUAUACACUACAUAGAUAUCCGCUUGCUUUUCAGGUAAUUUUUUUUAAAUUUAUUUACUCUAUAUGUUGAUUUUAUGCGUAUGUUAAUAUUGAUUUUGAAUCCUCUGCUGUAGUUUUGG